AAAAACAUCAAGCGCGGCUUGGUCUUGGGUGGGGUCUCUGGACCCGCCUGUAACUGGUUGGCGGCACCGCCCGGCUUUAAGCGUAGCAAGUUUUACCCUCGCUUCGGAGCCUGUGUGGGGACUAGCCCAAGGUACCUCUAAA
This 142-nucleotide unclassified non-coding RNA is filed under the name uncultured Mycosphaerellaceae. RNAcentral describes it as "sequence contains ITS2". The record is from RNAcentral. Lineage: Eukaryota; Fungi; Ascomycota; Dothideomycetes; Mycosphaerellales; Mycosphaerellaceae.